Molecule: long non-coding RNA, 3081 nt
Filed under: Rattus norvegicus (Norway rat)
Lineage: Eukaryota; Metazoa; Chordata; Mammalia; Rodentia; Muridae
Description: long non-coding RNA NONRATT021479
Source: RNAcentral
AGAGGCAGUGUACUGGAGUUUGGAACCAGAAAGACGAAUUACCUAUUGAAGUGGACCUUGGUAAAAAGUGCUGGUAUCAUUCCAUAUUUGCCUGUCCCAUUCUUCGUCAGCAAACAACAGAUAACAACCCACCCAUGAAAUUGGUUUGUGGUCAUAUUAUAUCAAGAGAUGCCCUGAAUAAAAUGUUUAAUGGUAGCAAAUUAAAGUGUCCAUAUUGCCCAAUGGAACAGAGUCCAGGAGAUGCCAAACAGAUAUUUUUCUGAAGAAUGAGUUUGUUUGCAAUUUGUAAGUGAAACUGAAUUAAGGGUACACUCGAGACAAGAGUAUUCAUUGACUGCAGCUGUCCAAGGACUGCCUAUUCAUAAGCUAUGCUCCAGAAGCUGCCAGCUCGCUCGUGUACACGGAGGGCGUGCUCCAGAUGGGUAUUACACAGGGCUUUAUUCACUCUUGGUCUUCGUUUCUGAUCAAGUAAACACACCAGCAGUUGUCAUUCAGUGCAGGUUUUUGUACUUACUAUAUGGUGAUUUUUUUUUACUUAAAAGCAGAAACAGAAGUUGACCUUCCUGACAUGUGUUUAAUAUUCCUCCUGCUUUUACAAAUUCUGACAUUUUCUUGAUAAUUGUAAGCUUGAGAGUGUUUGUGGAAGAACUUUCUUUCUUCUCAUGUAUACAUAAUUAAAUGAAAAGUCUUCAUAGGAGUUUGGUUAUAAAACGAAUUUGCUUUUUUGUUAUUGUUUUGUUUUUCUUUUUCGGCCUAAGGAAGAAAGCUGUGGUGAAUUCCAAAUUUGCAUAGCUUUUGAUGUUUUACUCUGCCCCAGCUCCUGCUUCAGAGUCAGCACACCUGCAUUGAGUUCUGAGUUCUUUCUGUAGCCUGGCAGUCUGCCUGUUUAAAAAUCCCAUCAUGAAUUUAGCAGGCUAAUGUGAGAAUGAAAUAGAUAUUACUGGGUUUUUGUUGUUGUUUGUUUGUUUUGCUUUUAUUACCAAGAGGUGCUUUUUAAUAAAUGGAAUUCUGAAGUUAGGGUGUUACUAUUUGAUAUAUGGUUUCACAGUCUUAGCACACUGUCCUUUGAAAUCUGCCUUUAAGACUUGGCUGAGUAUUGCGGUAGUUUAUCAUCACAGAUGCGCAGUGUUAUGCAUGUGUAUGCAAGUAUGUGCACCAGCAUCAAACAUUGCGUAUGUGGAAGGGAAGAAGCAUGUUCCAUUCUAAAUGCAGUUGCCAAUCUCACCACUUCAGGUCCUUAAGGGUAGACACUAGCAACUUUCUGUUAUGGACCUUGUUUACUGCUCGUUUGUGUUUAAUUAGUAUAUUGUUCAUGCCUCUCUUCUGCAGUGUCUCAUCUCAUUGACUGUGAACCUGUAUAUUGCUCAAAUGGCUACAGAUAAUGAUCUUUUCUUUUGUGAGGUCUCUUCAUUUAAUGCACUGCCCAUAAAGAGCCAUGUGUAAGAGUUAUUCUCUGUAUGAGGAACUAAUUACAUGGAAAAGACUUCUGUGGACAUAAUUCUGACUUAAACCCAUGAAAUACUUCAUCUUGAGAAGAGUGCUGUGUGGAAAUCACCAAAUAACUCACAACCUUAUUUCAUCUGAUGUAGAUCUGAACACCAACAUAUGAAAACUGUCAUAAGAAAAUGAAAAACCAUAAACACAGAAGCAACAAGAAAUGAGACUCUUAUUUUAAACUACGAUGGACUCUGUUUAAGGGAAUGGGGAUAACAGCUUUGGUGCUAAGUUAAUCAGAAAUUUCCAGCAUUCACAGUGGUAUGCUAGCCUGGAUGGUCUCUCCUGAAAUGUUUGCCUAGGAGAGCUGGUAUUUGCUUGUGAAAGAAGGAAGAAGUAUUGCAGAAAAACCCAAGAAAUGACCACAUGGUCAGUUUCAUGGUGAUGGCUAUUGUGUACUGUGUAGGUUACCUGGGUCAAGAUUGGUCCAGCUUAGAGUGCAUGCUUUGUUCAAACCCAAGCCUGGCUCACAAUGACUUGUGCAUCACUCACUGUCAGGAUGCUCUGUAAAGUCCCUCAGGCCCCAUGAAGCAGGGAAAGAACAGAGGUGCCUCUAGCCUGCAAGAGAAAGGGCCAGGCAAGAUCCUGUGGAGGGAGGGAGGCAGGAUGUGAACUCGUUUACUAUGGGUAUUUUUUCCUUUGAAUUAAAUUCUAGAGUGUCAGGCUUUUUUUUUUAACUUUGUUAUUCCUAAGCCAAAUUUAGUUUUUAGGUUUCCUUCUCCUCCCAUCCCCCCAAUAACUUAUUCUUAUCUUCCCACCUCAAGCAUCUACAUGACAUUUAGACUUCACAUGAAGUUUAUGUGAUACACACAUGCUCUUGAGGUUGGUGGAAAGUGGUUUUGGAAGUAAGACCCUUCACACAAUUGGCUCAGGCCAUUUUAAGGACGAGGGCUCUGCCUGGUCCUCCUGGUGCCGGGCAUCUCUUUGACAGUCUCUUGUGAAGCUCAUGAAACUUUAAAAAGAAUGAGCUUUAACAAGUGUUUGACCCUACAGCUUCCUCUGUAAGGCCUUAUAGUCCCAGUGGGCGGGCAGGACAAAGGCCCAAAACUGAAACUUGAUCUUAAAAUUUACCAUGGAAAGGAGGUCUUAGGCUCUUCUUUAAAUGUGUGUGCUUUAUCUGUAAGAGACUGACUAGCAGAAGUGGAUUCAAAGAAGACAGACCUUGACCAAAGAUGCUGAAGUACAAUAUUGGGGUCCUUGUACUCUAGACCCAUGCCAUCACGGUGUCAUGCUCAAGCUUGCAUGCAGGAGGAUGCCUUGUUAGAAAACGUGAUGUUAGCGGAAGACUGUCGGUCACACAGAUGACAGGCAUUGGAAACAGCCACGCCAUGGCUUCUUUGAGAGCUGCUUCCUUUUUCUGGUUGUGGACAAGGCUGCCUUAGGACUCUGCUAAACCAACAAAACCUUUAGAAUCUGGUGGAGCCAGAGCCUCUCCACAGUGGCUAAAGUUGUCAUUGAUCUUUUCUCUUCUCCUUUGUGUGAUCAUCACAGAUGCCAUUUCUGUUUUAUUGAUGAUUAUAUGAGACUUUUAAUACAUAAAUGAACGGGUAUUGGUGCCUCUUUAUUUUUAAAAGUUUGAAGAAAAAG